This 412-nucleotide long non-coding RNA is filed under the name Panax ginseng (ginseng). RNAcentral's name for it is "long non-coding RNA (PGIN_LNC007771)". The record is from RNAcentral. Lineage: Eukaryota; Viridiplantae; Streptophyta; Magnoliopsida; Apiales; Araliaceae.
UUACAUGAAUAUCCUUGGACAUAGUGCAUGGAUGAUUCAAUGAUGUGGAUUAUUUAUUAAGUUGAGUCUCAGCGAUAAAAUAUUGAUUAUACACUUUUAAUUCGUAAAAGAUAGUAGAUAUCAUGCUCUACUUGACUCUUCUAAAAUACAGUUGUAUGUCUUUGGCCUGUAGUGCAAAGAUGAAUUGUUAAUGAAUAUCUUUGGUCGUAGUGCAAAUAUGAAUUUAUUAGUAUGCUUAUGAGCAGGAAUUGUGAUUUGGUAUAACCAUGAUUUUUGAUGUUUCAGGUGAAGAUAGGUGAUGAAAAUUAUCUCCGUCCUAGGUGAGAAAAGGAAUUUAGAAUCACAAUUAUGAUUAUGAGUUAUUCAUAUGAUUGUGGACAGGAAUUGUUGAUUGAUGUUACAGGGAUAAAAC